RNAcentral lists this small RNA (78 nucleotides) under Salmonella enterica subsp. enterica serovar Liverpool. RNAcentral's name for it is "isrK". It matches the Rfam family "isrK Hfq binding RNA". The record is from RNAcentral. Lineage: Bacteria; Pseudomonadati; Pseudomonadota; Gammaproteobacteria; Enterobacterales; Enterobacteriaceae.
GUACCUGCAAAUUCAGGUGCCGGGCUUGACCUCCUGAAAACUGUUACAGGCGACAUACGACGCGCCCGCGUCUUUUUU